UCGCGGGGUGACACGGACAACGCGGCACUGCGAGGCCGUCAGCCUUUGGGUGCCUUUUGUAAAAGCCUUGUGGAAAUGUAGUCUUAACUUCUAUCUCUUUGGAAACCCCCCUUCUUCUGCAGGAAUCAAGCGCAAUACGAAAACAUACCGUGUACGCUGACCCGAGGUAUUGAUGUUCGCAAGGGUCUGAACGUACAAAGUGAGAGACCUGUGUGGGUUUUUUUUUUAAGGAGAAAACACGUGGUAUUUAUUCUUGCGGUUGAGAAGCACUAAUUUUUGUGUGGCACAGUCUCCAGGUGGGACUCUUGACUUCCAGUCAGCACUUGGCGUAUUGAAAAAAUGGAAGAGGGGGGGAGAAAUAAUAAUGGUAAUAAUUGCACUGGAAACUGAAAUGCACUCAUUUUUUCCAAUAAAAGAGCAACAUUUGUGCUUCACAGUGGCUUUACAUACCCAACACUCCAAGGAUGUUGCAGAGGAUUGUAUAUGGAUGUUAUUCCAUAUGUUCUCCGUUCUUUUCCGUUCCGGUGUGGUUAAUUUUGGCAUUUUCCCAUUGCUUGCCUGCUCUCCUUUCAUUUUUCACUCCAUUUUUCUUCAGGGCAGAAUUAUGUUAAAUAACUGUGAAGCAAUAUUUCUUCUGUCUGAUAAAAUGGUGGCAUAAAGUACAAACUGAUUUUAGAAAAUUAAAUUGUAUCCAUGUUUCUGAGAAGUCAUUUUAAAUUAGCCCAUACAUUUUUUUGUUAAGAUGAGAGAAAAGUGUUCUAAAUGCCCCAGUGUCUUCCUGUUGUAAGCAAGAGUGGGUUUGUCACAACAUUAAUAAUAAUAAUAAUAAUAAAGAGUAACAGGGUAAAUAUAUUCUGCAAUUAAUGCCUUCUACAUCACUUUUUCAUGUUAAGUGCUAAGAAAGCAGAGCCGACUGCCCAUCAAGUCAGGUGCGUGUCAGGUGUCACAGUUCUGGACACUGGCAAGUGAAGGCACACAAGUUUUGUUAGUCAAGUUUGAAAAGGCUGAGCUAAUUUUUAGGCAGAGUUUUCUCCUUUGUAGAUUGAGAAGUGAUUUGCAGUUGGAAGUAAGCAGUGUCUUUUCAGUAUGCAUGAACAGUUACCAACAAGAGUAAGAAGUGUAAGCCAGACAGCUAAAACUUAAAUAGUAUAGUUUUUUUACUUUUCAGUAUUAGUUCCUUAUUUCUUGCAUUCUUUUACUUCUAUUAAUAACAGUACACUAUGGAGCCUCUUAUACCUCUUCAUUGCUAAAAUCCUGCCAAAGCAGGUAAUUACUGAGCAAUAUAAGUGAUGUAGAUGCUUGAUGAUAUACCUGAAGUCCAUUUUAAAGGAUGCUCCAAUUUCUUGUUAACAGGACUCGUUACAUUUCAUGCCUUUAUUGGCCAUUUCAGAAAAGAGGUCAUGAUAGGGACACCUUGCAUGUAAUGUAGUUGUUUACAGCUGUAUGAAAUGGAUAUACAGCGCUACUAAUUAGAACAAUCGUGUUUCAUGUCCACUUUGUGCAGUUACAAAUGGCUUAAUGAGUUGCAAGGCAGCACCUAUUAGGCCUGUAGAAGCAGAAGUAUUUUAUCACCCUUUAAGAGAGAUGAGUAAGAUAAGGUACACUGAUAUGGUAAAAAAAUAAAAUGCUUGAGUUUCCACUGCCUUUGAUUUAUUGUGUCCAUAGUGAAAGAGAGGAAUGUAUUUUCUUGGGCUAUCAAUCCAAGAUGUGCAAACACUGAGGUCAUGAGAGGUAGAGAGAGAGGAUAGUAAAUAUUUCUGAAUUUCCCUUUCUCUGUAUAUGAUUUUAAGCAAAUUAAUCCCUUUGCAUGCCUACUUGGAGAUAUUUCUGGCUUUAGUCAGUCACUACUACUGAGAGUUAUAAGUUGCAAGCCGGAGUCUGUGAGGAAUUUUUUGAGUAAUGAGUGCUGAAAUUUUUAAAAUUGCUUGCUGAUUGUUUUAUAACUGGACACAAGUUGCAUUUCUAGAUUUUUCUGCAGAAGCUUGUAUCAUCAGAUAUCCCUUUCCCAUCAGUUCUGUGUAACUGGUAUUGAUGAUGCCCAGACCCAACCGUGUGGACUAUUCACAGGUACUCCUGUGCUUCUAAGUUGUGUGUUCGUGGCAUUUGUUUGAGUUUGUUUGGGUUUGCCUGUUUUGUGCUGAACUGAUGGCAGAGUAUCCCUCCCAGCCACGUGCCCCUGUGGCACAACAUAAAAAACAUAGGUAGUCACGUGUCUAUGCUCUGUCAAAAGUGUGCGGGGAAAAAAUUAGUUUUGUUUUUUGUUGUUUCAUAAUAACAGGAAAAAUAGUGUUGAUAUAAAUAAUACUAAUCAGAAUUUGUUCUGUUCUCUUUCUUUGCAGCCUGCCAUGGAGCUCGGUUACACUGGGGGGCCCUGAGUUUGGUCCUUGAUUAACAUUUUCUCUCUUUCUCCUGCCCGGGGUGGAUGCUACUUGCUGCCCGUGGAACUGAGCUGGCCACUGAGCCGGCAACUGAGCUUUUCUGAGCUGAGGUGGGCGCGUGCUUCCAUGGAUGUUUUAAAUGUAUUCAAAUAAUAAAAAGGAAGCUCGGACUAGCCAGCCACAGCCUGAGCCUGCAGGCCCUGAAUCCCUUUGAGCUGCUACCCUGGCUGACUACAAGUGACAGUUGUCAUGUGAGCAGGGAAGGAAGGCCAUGAGGCAACUCCGGGAGCAUAUGCUUUAUCUGCAUUAAGCUUUGCACACAGAUUGGGGAAGAAAGGGUGAGGCAGAUGCAGCCUUAUGGAGCCUGUCCCACCUCUGCUGCUUUUUACUGUGGCUUGUGCCCACCCACAGUCCAUGGAAUAGCGUGGCAUCCUCCAGGUUAAAAAACGCUGGAGAAGGACAGUGCAUUAGUGGGCCUAUUUUCCUCCUCAAUGCACUUAUAUAACAUGGUAACAUUAAUAGCAAUUUAUGUGCAAGCACUGAAGGAAGGAGGCAUUUCAUUUGAACUGAAGCUGCAGAAUAUCCACUUUGGAUUGGGAACAGAGCCACAGGAUCAGUGCAGGACAGCCACUCUUCAAGAACCACACUUUUUGGGAGUUAUUAUUCCCACCUCAGCCUCUUUUAGGAACACUUCCAGUUUCUUGAGAACUCAACAGGAGUUUGUAGAAGUCAAGGAAAGGACCAACUUGUUUUCUUGGUUUCUUUGUAGGAGGGUGCAGUUAAACUCUGUCUGGAUUUCUUUGCUCCUAUACCUUACUCUUAUUAGUUCACAACAUUGAAGUAAUUAGGAUAUUUUCUUCAUAGUUUUGAGAUGAUACUUCUGAAUGUUCUCUUUCUAUACUUGCGCAUCUAAUUCCCACUGUCUCUUAUAAAACACUUUUUCUUAUUUUUUGUUACUGUCUUUACUAACGGAGCAUUAGACACUAAGACCCUCUGCCAGAACCAGCCACUAAGAGCAUUAGAUCCUACAACCAACCUCUGGGCUAAGUUGCUAGCAGUUUCAUUUGACAAGUUAGACAAGAGAGUAGGAAAGGAGACAAGUGAAAUGACUUGCCAGUAGUCUUACAGUAUGGAAGCAGCAAAGUCAGGAGUGAGGUCUGGGCUUCUAAUUUGCAGUACGUUGCUUUGUAUGUUUCUUUCUCUGUUGCUCUGAGAUUUCUCUUUCAUAGUGCCUUCCUUUUCCAGACAACUAUUACUACACCUCAAGGAGCUGUUUGCCAUUUUUCCCGUUUCAGAAGAAUUGAGUAAUAGGUUAGCCAGAGCAUCCAGAUCCAUUUGAGUCUAUUACCUGUGUGAAAAUUGCUUCUGAUUCCUCAAGACAUUUAGGGUGACUUGUUGCUUCCACUCCAAUUUUCCUGCACAUAUGAAACCUUACUGAAAAGUACUAGAAUUCCUUACAUCCCAACCUAGGUCCCAGUCAAAGGGAAGUUUAUGUACUCAUCUACUGACCUGGAGGGAACUGUUGAUGCAGGCACUUGUGCUCAUCAGCUUGGAAUCCACAUAACGUUGAAUUUCAUAACAAAAGGCAGCCCUGAUUAUUUUGAAUUUGAGUAGACAGAAGAGAGCAAGAAAUAGGUCUUGAUACUCCUCGAAAGCAACUCAGAAGCUUCCACACGAAGCAUGCUUGAAGAUCUGCAGCUGACACAUACAAAAAAGACUUUAAAAACAACUCCACAACCAUGGUGAGAUCCAACAGGAUUAAACAAGGUAGUCUGUAGUUACACCUCUCCUUAAAAGCUAUCAACAUGCACGUUUCCAGAGUUUACCUUGAGAGCUGCUUGUGAAGAAAAUGCUUGCACUUGUUAUGAAUAGGAUUUAGCCAAGUUACAGAGGUGAGUUUAUGCAAUUGUCUGUAUGAUCGGAAUCAAAGACCCUGAAUUUGAAAAACCUUAACCUAAGUACUUACUUUGCAGGCAAAAACCUGUCCUAUUGAAAAAAUACACCUCUGUGAAAAUUGAAUGGUGUUCAUCAGCUUCUGCAAGAUGGGUCUGAGUUUGUAAGGAUGUGCUGGGAAAUCUGUGUAGUACCGCCUCAGUUUACUUCAAUAAGAAAGCAUGCUAAAAAGCCUAUCUGUGUUGCUGUGGAAUUGCAUGGUGAUCUGUAUUAAAAAUAACAUUGUCUUGCGAAAAAUUUCUGGUUGUUUUAGCAGAUUUUGUUCUUUGACAGAAAGUGUAUUGAUCUGAUCCUGGGAAAGUGACUGUAGUGCUCAACAGAACGGUUCCUGCUGUAUAAUUUUGAUAUUCAUAAGGUUGUGUAAUAUUUCAUAUGAAAAGCCUCUGUCAACUUCAACUGACUGUUGAAUCUUAAAAUGAU
Long non-coding RNA from Cuculus canorus (common cuckoo), 4751 nucleotides. RefSeq lists it as uncharacterized. The record is from RefSeq and is a predicted model, not a curated record. The transcript has 4 exons. NCBI's taxonomy places the organism in Eukaryota, Metazoa, Chordata, Aves, Cuculiformes, Cuculidae.